GCAGCGCAAAGUAGCUUGCUACUCGGCCGACGAGCGGCGGACGGGUGAGUAAUGUCUGGGAAACUGCCUGAUGGAGGGGGAUAACUACUGGAAACGGUAGCUAAUACCGCAUAACGUCGCAAGACCAAAGAGGGGGACCUUCGGGCCUCUUGCCAUCAGAUGUGCCCAGAUGGGAUUAGCUAGUAGGUGGGGUAACGGCUCACCUAGGCGACGAUCCCUAGCUGGUCUGAGAGGAUGACCAGCCACACUGGAACUGAGACACGGUCCAGACUCCUACGGGAGGCAGCAGUGGGGAAUAUUGCACAAUGGGCGCAAGCCUGAUGCAGCCAUGCCGCGUGUAUGAAGAAGGCCUUCGGGUUGUAAAGUACUUUCAGCGGGGAGGAAGGUGUUGAGGUUAAUAACCUCAGCAAUUGACGUUACCC
Molecule: ribosomal RNA, 422 nt
Filed under: Enterobacter asburiae
Lineage: Bacteria; Pseudomonadati; Pseudomonadota; Gammaproteobacteria; Enterobacterales; Enterobacteriaceae
Description: bacterial SSU rRNA
Rfam family: Bacterial small subunit ribosomal RNA
Source: RNAcentral